Molecule: long non-coding RNA, 520 nt
Filed under: Pomacea canaliculata
Lineage: Eukaryota; Metazoa; Mollusca; Gastropoda; Architaenioglossa; Ampullariidae
Description: uncharacterized LOC112571432, transcript variant X2
Source: RNAcentral
UAAUUUGUCCAGAAGGGUGACUCUCACAAUUAAUCGUUUUGUUGUGGACAAAACGUUGAGAAAUGAAGCCUGGGGUCGGUGAUUGCGUGUCUGGUGGAAGGGAGAGCACUCCAUUGCUCACUAACGGCCCGACUUCCGGUUAGCACGAGGAGCCCAGCAAAGGUCAGCGAUCCUAUUGUGGCGACAUGGGAGCCAACAAACCAGUCCAGUUUGUCAAAUCACUGUACACCGACCCAUUCCGAUGGUCAGUUGUAAAGAGUGUUGCAUUAUUUGCCCUUGCUGUGUAUGUUGCACGAGAGAUGGCAGCAGCUGAACAAGCAGCUCAGUUGUCACCAUCCUGAUGGAAGACAGAAGCCAGACAAGGAGUUCAUGACUGUAGUGCCUGGUUGGCAGCACAUCCUGAUGAACAUAGAUCUGUCAUAACAAAGUUAUUCCACCGAAUUGUACAUUUGCAAAUUUGGCCAUGCUGUUAUCACGAACAUCUUUUGGAAUUAAAAUGUUUCAUUUUGUGUAACUGUCA